This 333-nucleotide ribosomal RNA is filed under the name Laparocerus orone hierrensis. RNAcentral's name for it is "partial 12S ribosomal RNA". The record is from RNAcentral. Lineage: Eukaryota; Metazoa; Arthropoda; Insecta; Coleoptera; Curculionidae.
AAUACCCUAUUAUUUUAAAAGUAAUUAAUUAAAUCUAAUUAGUAAUAGUUAAGUUCUUGAAAAUUAAAGAAUUUGGCGGUAUUUUAGUCUAUUCAGAGGAAUCUGUCCUAUAAUUGAUAAUCCACGAUUUUUUAUACCUAAAUUGUUAAUUUACAUAUCGCCGUAGUUUGAAUAUUUUUUGAAAAUUAUAAUAUUCAUAAUUUAUUUUUAUAAAAAAAAUCAGGUCAAGGUGUAGUUUAUAUUUAGGAAGAGAUGGGUUACAAUAAAAAUAUUUAUUAUGGAUUAAUUAAUUAAAUUUUUUUAUGAAAGUGGAUUUGAAAGUAAUUUUAUUUA